Molecule: long non-coding RNA, 3592 nt
Organism: Oreochromis niloticus (Nile tilapia)
Lineage: Eukaryota; Metazoa; Chordata; Actinopteri; Cichliformes; Cichlidae
Source: Ensembl
GUUUCAAACAGAAUACCACAAACAGCAGGCAUUCCUUUAGAAAUAAACAGGGAUUCUUAAUUCUGCAACAUUUAGACAGAGGGGGGGGGGUUACAGUUAGACCCCCUACAGUCAGCAGAAGAGGUCAUCCUUAUCAAGAGCAUCUCAAUUGUACUGCCAUAGUUUUCAAUACAAACAGUCUCCUUUAUCUUAUGCCAGGUCCAUCGGAGCCACCAUAGCUUUUUCACCUUUUAUCAUACCAUUACACUUUCUACUGACCAUCCUCCAAACAGGCAUCGCCUUUUGUUUACACCUUUAUCUCUGCAUCUCAGAGGCCAGCUGGAAACAAGCCCCACACCUAUAUAAAAAAACGCCCUAAUCAAACACCCUGUAUUUUUCCUCACUACUUUACAUCGGUCAUUGAGAGCAUAACACUUCGUUCACCAGCAAGGACAACAACCCUAAGAGCGUUCUUUUUAACAUGGACAGCAUAUAUGGUAGGUAAAACAAGACUAUUAACGGAUUCUUAAAUUUAUACAAUUGCAUAUCAAAAAAUAUUCAAACUGUUUUCUCUUCUAAACAAAAGCCUGAUUUUUAGGAACUUGGUACACUGGGACACCCCACGCGGCACUUACACAAGGUUUGUAUUUCUUCUUCUCACACAAAACAGAUUGUGCCUCAUUGUUUAGAAGCAAUCUUACCUGUUUCACACAUAGUAACAUUUAAAUGUGUAUUUCUCAUUCUUUCUACAGGAUCACAAAGCUAUAUAGGGCAAACAACACCUCUAACUAAGGAGUGCAGGAUGACGUCGGCAUCAACCAUGACGAACAGCCAGAACAUCGCCCAAGCCACAGAAGCUCUAGAGCGAGACAUGCAAGCGUGGGACCUCUCAGACUCCCCACCGCCUGCGCUGCUAAUCCAGACCCCACCACAUCCUCCCCCCUCUCCUCAGCUGCUGCAGGAUCCUACAGGAUCGGGUCUGUGUGAGGAAACCAUUAUCGACAUCAAGCUUGCAACCCAUCACCUGGUGAUGUUGGCAUUAAACGCCUUUCUACAGGAAACAUGCGGGUGUCGAACAGCUCAACCCAGUCAGGUGCAACACAGUUGUUUGCUCGAACUGCCCGAGUAUUACUUUGACACCUACUACGACGAUGUGAUGCUGAGGCUCAAGACAUUCCGAUUCAUCCCUGCCAUUCGCCUGUUUGUACGCUCGUACACAGUCGAUGGGACUAAAACACAAUUCAGCAGAAUUGCAGAACACACCAUGACUGAACUGAGAUCAUCACAACAUAUAGUAUGCGCAAUUAACGACAAUAUUGCACAGCUGCUAGAAGCAAGUCGUUAUGCCCGUCGUGUUAAACCAGCCAUGCUUCGCAUGAUUGGUAACUACUGGGCUGGGAGACACCUGGUUUAAUGUAUGUUGUUCAGUAUUCAUUGUCUGUGUGAAUGAAAUAAAAAGACAUGUCAACACCGACACCUUAGUCAUUUGCGGUCGACUUUGCUUAUACAAUGGAGAAAAGCAACAAUACAGCGUGUUUCUCUGCUCCAAGACAUCGGUGGGGCCUUUCACACGGUAAGCAUGUCUGUUAUACCCAGCGCAUAAAUGUCUGUAUGUCAGUGCUGAUUAUACAAACACUGUUUAAAAUGUGACACAUAUGUUGUCCGAAAACAAAUCCUCUAAAUUUGCAAAGUUACUGAUUUAAAAAUAUAUUUUCGAAUUUUUAGUUGCAUGACAAACAUACGAUAGACUCUUGAGCGUAUUUAUUUAUAUAGCUACAUUCACAAUGGUAUAGACGUGCUAAAUAAAAGAGGCUCAAGCACCAAAACACUCUAAUGCAAGCCUCUAAACUGUAUGUUGAUAAGUGCAUAAAGUGUACCUCUACCUCUACAGCUGAAAACAGUUUGUAUCCGCACUCUGAGGCUCUGCUGAAUUGUUUUUAAUAUUGCGCUUUUUCACGAACUGCAGAUGAUGAAUUUCUCUUUAUUGGACAUAGUGUCCUUAAGCUAUUGUUGCUCAUACUCACUGAGUUCCCUAGCUACUUCUUUACUAUGUCAGUAAACUUUUUGAAAAGGAAGGCGUUGUAGAUUUAAAGAAACAUCCUAAUUGAAGCAAAGGCAAAAAAUCGGAAUGAAUUUUAUGUGACUGUUCAUAUUAAAGCCAACAACAAGUGAAAAUCCAAAACCGGCUCCAAUCCUUUGUAUUAAUGAUCUCCCCCUCUCUCUCUCUCUCUCUCUCUGUGUGUGUGUGUGUGUGUGUGUGUGUGCCCUCACAGAAGGAAGGACACAGCAGGAGCUUUUCAAACGCGUUUCCAAUCAUUUUUUACAAGAAGUGUAGCUCAUACGAUGGUAUAAAUGUAUUAUUUGUGAUACUUUAUAAAUAUGAAACUCUAAAGAUUUUGAGUUCAUGCAAAUUGUGAAACAAGAAUCUAAAUAUUUUGUGUCACAAUGAUUUCUAUAAAAGCAUGUUGUUUAUGGGGAUAAUGUAACAAAUCUUUUGCGGGCCCUAUUAAUGAUCAAUGGUGAUUGAAGAGGAAGCUUGAACCCAGGCUCCGGACAUCUUCAUGACAAGUGACAGCGCAGACAUCUGCUAAUGAGAGAACAUGUUUUAUCAUCAUAAACACGGUGAUAUGAAGCAUCGUUAAAGUGUCACUUCAGUAAUGUUUUAAUAGAUGUCUUUAAAACACUAAACUCUAAUUUCUGGGGCUUUAUUUUAAGCUUACAGAAUAUAACAUGUUGUAAGACGACGAGUUUUACUUCUCACAGGUUGUGUUAUGUGUAUCUAUUUAUCAUGUAUGCUACUUUGCUCUGUGGACUGUAAAAUGUUUCAUUGUGUUCAUAAAAUAAACCAAACUUUCGCCGUCUGAAUCUUUUACUGUUUUUCUGCUUUUGUUCACACCAAGUUUGACAAACCCACAGACAUCCAGAGUUAACUCGCUAACAAUGUGGAGCAGUCUCAGCGUAUUUAGCUGCUUUUUCCCUAAACACAACCAACUGAGAGAAACGCUUGUAGUCCUCACUUUGGUCAUUUGAACGCUGAAGGAGAUUUGCUACAUAGACACCUUAUACUAGUGUUUCCUGCACUUAAUCCAUCACUACUAUGUUCUAUUUAAAUUCAGAUUCCUUUUAUAGUUUGCAGUGAAAUUUCUUAAACCGCUGCUUAAUGUGACAGAAGUACACGUCACUCUUUACUAACACAUUUGUAGAUAAGUUAUUGCUGAACCACACAGCCAGCAGGCUCACACACUCUUUAGGUUUUUGAAGGUUUGUGUGUAAUGGUUUUAGUCUAUCAAACCUUAUCCUUUUCUCCCCAGUAUCACAACAGUAUGACUCCAAAGUACGGAUCAGUAAACAAUCAAUGAUUCUAAAGCCAGAACAGAAAGAUACAGUUGGAAGAUGCAUGAUUGCGUUUUUAUGAAGCGUAGUAAAACUGGCCCCUCUUCUUCUUCUCUGUGUUGUUGUUGUUGUUCUUGUGUGUGUGUGUGUGUGUGUGUGUGUGUGCGCCUUAGAAGUCAAAUAAUACAUUAGCCACACUUAAAAAAACAAAAACAUUUGAAUUUCAUUUAGAACUGAGAUUCUAAGUUGUAAGCAGAAAUCUUGUGCUCAGCCACAAACA